CCGGAUGUGUAGACGAGUUAAGUUUUAGCUGGAUUACGGCCAAAACAGUAGCUCAUAUUAUUUAUGAUUGCGUUAUCAUUUUUGAACCUGUCUUUAGAUCAUUCAAACCUGCAAUAAGACGGUUGUCCCGGGGAUCAAGUCAUUACAUUACAGCAACAUGUCUAGUUAACAGCGUAGAAUACUUCAUUUCAUCGAUGUUUUUGAAUGCCUUAUAUUUGUAUUUUAGUUCAUUUAGCCAUUUUUAUGCAUCUUUGUGUGGAGUUUGCAUGUUCUGCCUGUGCGUGCAUACCCCCCGGGACCCUGGUGAGGACAAGCGGCAUGGAAAAUGAAUGAAUUAAAGGAUGUAGGAGGAGGCCACAGAAAAUGUGCAAAUUCCACAGAUGCCCAGAGGUUUGAACCCUUGAUCUGAGUGUGAGGACAACAUGCUAAGCACUCGUCCACCAUGCGGCCCAUCGUUUUGUGCUACAACAGUUUGGGGAAAAGAGAGAUGGCUCCGUGGGCAUAAGGUGGGAAAUAUUUGUGAGUACUUUGCAUGACAGCUACAGAGAGUAGGACAAAAAAAGAACGCCUUACGUUUCACCAUCCAGUCCUCCUUCUCUCUCAGUGAUGGUGACAGUCUGGUUGUAAAUGGCAGUCUGAAACAUGUUGCCCUGAAGGAUGGUGCCAAACCCAUAAAAGGUGUUAGGAAUAUCAGGAAAUGUGUUAUGGGUGCUUUCUAACCUCAGCGUCAAGAUAGUUGAGGAGGAUGACAAGACCAAAUGGACGACCAGCCAUGGGCUGCGCUGGGAUGAAAGAGUACUCGAAGGAGGCUUGAGCGGCGGGAUGAACCAGAGUGUUCAGAGGCAAAGCUGUGAACUACACAAACGUUAUUCAAAGGAGAGUAUUUCAGGAAAAAUAUGGUCAUUUUUUGUCAAGCAGAAAAACAAGCUUGUGUAAGUUGUCACAUGAGAAUUGGGAUGGGCAUAAUAUUUCAUCUUUAAAAAUCCUGUUUUUUGUGUAAUUGAUCAUACAAGUAUAAGUUACUAAGGAAAAUGGGGGUGCACUACUUGACUGCAGCCAGCAUAGGCGCUGUUCCGUCUGUGCUAGUUUGUGGUCUAAAGCAGGGGUCCCCAA
Long non-coding RNA from Dunckerocampus dactyliophorus (ringed pipefish), 1113 nucleotides. RefSeq lists it as uncharacterized. The transcript is spliced from 3 exons. NCBI's taxonomy places the organism in Eukaryota, Metazoa, Chordata, Actinopteri, Syngnathiformes, Syngnathidae. The record is from RefSeq and is a predicted model, not a curated record.